Molecule: unclassified non-coding RNA, 225 nt
Filed under: uncultured fungus
Lineage: Eukaryota; Fungi
Description: sequence contains ITS1, 5.8S rRNA gene
Rfam family: 5.8S ribosomal RNA (bases 177-225)
Source: RNAcentral
UUUUCGUAGGUGAACCUGCGGAAGGAUCAUUAGUGAAUUCAAAAGGCCUUGGGGGACUUUGCAAAAAGCACCCCAGGCCGACUUUACUAUUUCACACACUUUGUGCUCUCGUCUUUUUUAACACUGUUGCAUCUAUUAAACAGUUGAUGAUAAACCAAGUUGAUAAACAUUGAAAAAACUUUCAGCAAUGGAUCUCUUGGCUCUCGCAUCGAUGAAGAACGCAGC